Molecule: ribosomal RNA, 772 nt
Filed under: Bacillus pumilus
Lineage: Bacteria; Bacillati; Bacillota; Bacilli; Caryophanales; Bacillaceae
Description: bacterial SSU rRNA
Rfam family: Bacterial small subunit ribosomal RNA
Source: RNAcentral
GUUAUGCGUGGUUAUCCAAUACAUGCAAGUCGAGCGGACAGAAGGGAGCUUGCUCCCGGAUGUUAGCGGCGGACGGGUGAGUAACACGUGGGUAACCUGCCUGUAAGACUGGGAUAACUCCGGGAAACCGGAGCUAAUACCGGAUAGUUCCUUGAACCGCAUGGUUCAAGGAUGAAAGACGGUUUCGGCUGUCACUUACAGAUGGACCCGCGGCGCAUUAGCUAGUUGGUGAGGUAACGGCUCACCAAGGCGACGAUGCGUAGCCGACCUGAGAGGGUGAUCGGCCACACUGGGACUGAGACACGGCCCAGACUCCUACGGGAGGCAGCAGUAGGGAAUCUUCCGCAAUGGACGAAAGUCUGACGGAGCAACGCCGCGUGAGUGAUGAAGGUUUUCGGAUCGUAAAGCUCUGUUGUUAGGGAAGAACAAGUGCAAGAGUAACUGCUUGCACCUUGACGGUACCUAACCAGAAAGCCACGGCUAACUACGUGCCAGCAGCCGCGGUAAUACGUAGGUGGCAAGCGUUGUCCGGAAUUAUUGGGCGUAAAGGGCUCGCAGGCGGUUUCUUAAGUCUGAUGUGAAAGCCCCCGGCUCAACCGGGGAGGGUCAUUGGAAACUGGGAAACUUGAGUGCAGAAGAGGAGAGUGGAAUUCCACGUGUAGCGGUGAAAUGCGUAGAGAUGUGGAGGAACACCAGUGGCGAAGGCGACUCUCUGGUCUGUAACUGACGCUGAGGAGCGAAAGCGUGGGGAGCGAACAGGAUUAGAUACCCU